This 253-nucleotide ribosomal RNA is filed under the name uncultured bacterium. RNAcentral's name for it is "partial 16S ribosomal RNA". It matches the Rfam family "Bacterial small subunit ribosomal RNA", at positions 524 to 776 of the family's 1533-position model. The record is from RNAcentral.
UACGUAGGGGGCAAGCGUUGUCCGGAAUUAUUGGGCGUAAAGCGCGCGCAGGCGGUUAAUUAAGUCAGAUGUGAAAGGCUACGGCUCAACCGUAGAGUUGCAUUUGAAACUGGUUAACUUGAGUGCAGGAGAGGUAAGUGGAAUUCCCGGUGUAGCGGUGGAAUGCGUAGAGAUCGGGAGGAACACCAGUGGCGAAGGCGGCUUACUGGCCUGCAACUGACGCUGAGGCGCGAAAGCGUGGGGAGCGAACAGG